GAUGAACGCUAGCGGGAGGCUUAAUACAUGCAAGUCGAGCGAGAAUGUUAUAGCUUGCUAUAGCAGGACAGCGGCGCACGGGUGAGUAACGCGUACGGAAUCUACCUUACAGAGGGGGAUAGCCCUGGGAAACUGGGAUUAAUACCCCAUAGCAUCAUAAUAAGGCAUCUUAUAAUGAUUAAAGCUACGGUGCUGUAAGAUGAUCGUGCGUACUAUUAGCUAGUUGGUGAGGUAACGGCUCACCAAGGCGACGAUAGUUAGGGGGCGUGAGAGCGUGAACCCCCACACGGGUACUGAGACACGGACCCGACUCCUACGGGAGGCAGCAGUAAGGAAUAUUGGACAAUGGGCGGAAGCCUGAUCCAGCCAUCCCGCGUGCAGGAAGACGGCCCUACGGGUUGUAAACUGCUUUUAUAAGAGAAGAAACCCUGAGAUUUAUCUUGGGCUGACGGUAUCUUAAGAAUAAGCACCGGCUAACUCCG
Molecule: ribosomal RNA, 482 nt
Filed under: uncultured Saprospiraceae bacterium
Lineage: Bacteria; Pseudomonadati; Bacteroidota; Saprospiria; Saprospirales; Saprospiraceae
Description: bacterial SSU rRNA
Rfam family: Bacterial small subunit ribosomal RNA
Source: RNAcentral